GACGAACGCUGGCGGCGCGCUUAACACAUGCAAGUCGAGCGAUGAAACUUUAACAUUGCCCUUCUGGGCGAAGCGACGGUGGAUUAGCGGCGGACUGGUGAGUAACACUUUAGUAACCUGCCUUAUACGUUGGGAUAGCCUCGGGAAACCGUGAUUAAUACCAAAUAAAAUCAUAAUGACACAUGUCAUAACUAUCACAACUCCGAUGGUCUAAGAUGGACUCGCGUCCCAUUCGCUAGUUGGUAGAGUAAAAGCCUACCAAUGCGACGAUGAGUAGCCGGGCUGAGAGAGUGAGCCGAGACACUGGAAGUGAGCAACGGUACAAAAUCCUACGGGAGGCAGCAGUGGGGAAUAUUGCAACAUGGCGGGAGUUAUGAUGCAGCUAGGACGCUAGAACGCAGAAGGUUUUCAAGACGUAAAGUGCUUGUAUAUGGGCAGAUAAUGACGGUACCAAAAGAAAAAGCCACGGCUAACUACGUG
RNAcentral lists this ribosomal RNA (480 nucleotides) under uncultured bacterium. Its description in RNAcentral is "partial 16S ribosomal RNA". It matches the Rfam family "Bacterial small subunit ribosomal RNA", at positions 28 to 507 of the family's 1533-position model. The record is from RNAcentral.